This 148-nucleotide non-coding RNA is filed under the name Nomascus leucogenys (northern white-cheeked gibbon). The record is from Rfam by way of RNAcentral. Lineage: Eukaryota; Metazoa; Chordata; Mammalia; Primates; Hylobatidae.
GCCAGGCAUGGUGGUGUGUGCCUGUAGUCCCAGCUACUUAGGAGGCUGAGAUGGGAGCAUCACUUGAGCCCAGGAGGUUGAGGCUACGGUGAGCCAUGAUUGUGCCACUGUACUCCAGCCUGGGUGAGAGAGUGAGACCCUAUCUCCA